UACAGAGACCUCAAACGUUGUCCGGAUUUAUUGGGCGUAAAGGGUCCGCAGGCGGUCUUAUACGUCGAUGGUGAAAUCAUCGGGCUCAACCCGGUGCCUGCCGUCGAUACGGUAAGACUAGAGUAUGGGAGAGGUAAGCGGAAUUGCCGGUGUAGUAGUAAAAUGCGUUCAUAUCGGCAAGAACACCAAAUGCGAAGGCAGCUUACUGGAACAUUACUGACGCUCAGGGACGAAAGCGUGGGGAGCGAAAGGG
Molecule: ribosomal RNA, 253 nt
Filed under: uncultured bacterium
Lineage: Bacteria
Description: partial 16S ribosomal RNA
Rfam family: Bacterial small subunit ribosomal RNA
Source: RNAcentral